UAAAAAACAAGUUUUCCCAACUUUCAUAUGUGUAUAAAGGACACAAUAAUUGAGAAUAUAAGCAGUGCCAACAAGAAACACAUAUUUUAUUAAAAUAAACUCACCAAGAUAAUAAGUUCUCAUGAUUGUAUCUUGAAUGGUUAAAGUCUGAUCUGUUGGAUGUAAAUAACUAUCCUAAAUUGUAGAAGUAUUCCAGAAAAAAAACAUUUUUUGAAAAAUCAAAUGUGCAAUAUUAAUG
This 238-nucleotide long non-coding RNA is filed under the name Mytilus galloprovincialis (Mediterranean mussel). Lineage: Eukaryota; Metazoa; Mollusca; Bivalvia; Mytilida; Mytilidae. The record is from RNAcentral.